GUGUCAGCAGCCGCGGUAAUACGAAGGGGGCUAGCGUUACUCGGAAUUACUGGGCGUAAAGGGCGCGUAGGCGGCUUGACCAGUCAGGCGUGAAAUUCCUGGGCUUAACCUGGGGACUGCGCUUGAUACUGUUGGGCUUGAGGCCGAGAGAGGGUGGUGGAAUUCCCAGUGUAGAGGUGAAAUUCGUAGAUAUUGGGAAGAACACCGGUGGCGAAGGCGACCACCUGGCUCGGUACUGACGCUGAGGCGCGACAGCGUGGGGAGCAAACAGGAUUAGAUACCCUGGUAGUCC
RNAcentral lists this ribosomal RNA (292 nucleotides) under uncultured bacterium. RNAcentral's name for it is "partial 16S ribosomal RNA". It matches the Rfam family "Bacterial small subunit ribosomal RNA", at positions 505 to 796 of the family's 1533-position model. The record is from RNAcentral.